UCCAAGUUCUCAAAGUUGAGAACUUCUAAGUCUCCACACUAAGAAAAGAUUGAUGAAGAAAUGAGUGACCUAGAGGAAGUAAGAUUGCUAGCUAUUUUCCUCUAGGGUGGCCGGCCUCUUUAGAGAGAAAAGAGAGUUUGUGUUCUCAUAUUUUCUCCAAAAGAAACCCUAAAUGAAUUUUGGCUAUAAAGUCAUAUUUAUA
RNAcentral lists this long non-coding RNA (202 nucleotides) under Malus domestica (apple). RNAcentral describes it as "long non-coding RNA (MDOM_LNC010175)". Lineage: Eukaryota; Viridiplantae; Streptophyta; Magnoliopsida; Rosales; Rosaceae. The record is from RNAcentral.